AUUGAACGCUGGCGGCAUGCCUUACACGUGCAAGUCGAACGGCAGCACGGGAGCAAUCCUGGUGGCGAGUGGCGAACGGGUGAGUAAAGUAUCGGAACGUGCCCAGUCGUGGGGGAUAACGUAGCGAAAGUUACGCUAAUACCGCAUACGAUCUAUGGAUGAAAGCGGGGGAUCGCAAGACCUCGCGCGAUUGGAGCGGCCGAUAUCAGAUUAGGUAGUUGGUGGGGUAAAGGCUCACCAAGCCGACGAUCUGUAGCUGGUCUGAGAGGACGACCAGCCACACUGGGACUGAGAGACGGCCCAGACUCCUACGGGAGGCAGCAGUGGGGAAGUUUGGACAAUGGGAGCAAGCCUGAUCCAGCCAUGCCGCGUGCAGGAUGAAGGCCUUCGGGUUGUAAACUGCUUUUGUACGGAACGAAAAGGUUUGGCCUAAUAAGCUGAGCUCAUGACGGUACCGUAAGAAUAAGCACCGGCUAACUACGUGCCAGCCGCCGCAGUAA
RNAcentral lists this ribosomal RNA (500 nucleotides) under uncultured bacterium. Its description in RNAcentral is "partial 16S ribosomal RNA". It matches the Rfam family "Bacterial small subunit ribosomal RNA", at positions 30 to 523 of the family's 1533-position model. The record is from RNAcentral.